UCUUUAACUUAUAAACAGGCUCACUAAUUCAUUUUCCUCUGCCUAACCCGCUUGUCAGCACCCGGGCCGGCUGCUCGGCGGACUGUACAACACAGCUGGGAACGGCCUGGUUUCUGUCACCUCAAGAGGGACUAAAAGAAGGGAAAGCCCCUGCCAUUGGUGGUGUGGGACACAAUGGUGUUUGCCAGCAUCUCUAAUCUGGUAUUAGCAGAGAGAGAGGACUUCUGGCAGAUAACACCAGGGAGCAGAGCGGAGGAGAACCCAGCUGAUCUCUGUUUUUCAACCAUGAUCUCUCACCAUGAUCCCUCUGAUCCUCCACCAUGGCCCACCAACUGUCGCUGUCUCAGUUCCAGCUGCUUACAAUGAAAAAAUGUCUUUCAUCAGCAUGGGCUGCAAAUGGGGCCUUCUGCUACUAUGGCAUUAAUACAGUCCCCUCCAAAAGUAUUGGAACAGUGAGGCCCAUUUCUUUAUUCGUGCUGUAGCCUGAAAACAUUUGGGUUUGACAUUAAAAGAUGAAUAUAAGAC
This is a long non-coding RNA of Astyanax mexicanus (Mexican tetra), 525 nucleotides long. RefSeq lists it as uncharacterized. The transcript is spliced from 3 exons. Lineage: Eukaryota; Metazoa; Chordata; Actinopteri; Characiformes; Acestrorhamphidae. The record is from RefSeq and is a predicted model, not a curated record.